RNAcentral lists this ribosomal RNA (2271 nucleotides) under Escherichia coli. RNAcentral's name for it is "partial 23S ribosomal RNA". It matches the Rfam family "Bacterial large subunit ribosomal RNA", at positions 418 to 2674 of the family's 2925-position model. The record is from RNAcentral. Lineage: Bacteria; Pseudomonadati; Pseudomonadota; Gammaproteobacteria; Enterobacterales; Enterobacteriaceae.
CGGGACACGUGGUAUCCUGUCUGAAUAUGGGGGGACCAUCCUCCAAGGCUAAAUACUCCUGACUGACCGAUAGUGAACCAGUACCGUGAGGGAAAGGCGAAAAGAACCCCGGCGAGGGGAGUGAAAAAGAACCUGAAACCGUGUACGUACAAGCAGUGGGAGCACGCUUAGGCGUGUGACUGCGUACCUUUUGUAUAAUGGGUCAGCGACUUAUAUUCUGUAGCAAGGUUAACCGAAUAGGGGAGCCGAAGGGAAACCGAGUCUUAACUGGGCGUUAAGUUGCAGGGUAUAGACCCGAAACCCGGUGAUCUAGCCAUGGGCAGGUUGAAGGUUGGGUAACACUAACUGGAGGACCGAACCGACUAAUGUUGAAAAAUUAGCGGAUGACUUGUGGCUGGGGGUGAAAGGCCAAUCAAACCGGGAGAUAGCUGGUUCUCCCCGAAAGCUAUUUAGGUAGCGCCUCGUGAAUUCAUCUCCGGGGGUAGAGCACUGUUUCGGCAAGGGGGUCAUCCCGACUUACCAACCCGAUGCAAACUGCGAAUACCGGAGAAUGUUAUCACGGGAGACACACGGCGGGUGCUAACGUCCGUCGUGAAGAGGGAAACAACCCAGACCGCCAGCUAAGGUCCCAAAGUCAUGGUUAAGUGGGAAACGAUGUGGGAAGGCCCAGACAGCCAGGAUGUUGGCUUAGAAGCAGCCAUCAUUUAAAGAAAGCGUAAUAGCUCACUGGUCGAGUCGGCCUGCGCGGAAGAUGUAACGGGGCUAAACCAUGCACCGAAGCUGCGGCAGCGACGCUGAUGCGUUGUUGGGUAGGGGAGCGUUCUGUAAGCCUGUGAAGGUGUGCUGUGAGGCAUGCUGGAGGUAUCAGAAGUGCGAAUGCUGACAUAAGUAACGAUAAAGCGGGUGAAAAGCCCGCUCGCCGGAAGACCAAGGGUUCCUGUCCAACGUUAAUCGGGGCAGGGUGAGUCGACCCCUAAGGCGAGGCCGAAAGGCGUAGUCGAUGGGAAACAGGUUAAUAUUCCUGUACUUGGUGUUACUGCGAAGGGGGGACGGAGAAGGCUAUGUUGGCCGGGCGACGGUUGUCCCGGUUUAAGCGUGUAGGCUGGUUUUCCAGGCAAAUCCGGAAAAUCAAGGCUGAGGCGUGAUGACGAGGCACUACGGUGCUGAAGCAACAAAUGCCCUGCUUCCAGGAAAAGCCUCUAAGCAUCAGGUAACAUCAAAUCGUACCCCAAACCGACACAGGUGGUCAGGUAGAGAAUACCAAGGCGCUUGAGAGAACUCGGGUGAAGGAACUAGGCAAAAUGGUGCCGUAACUUCGGGAGAAGGCACGCUGAUAUGUAGGUGAAGCGACUUGCUCGUGGAGCUGAAAUCAGUCGAAGAUACCAGCUGGCUGCAACUGUUUAUUAAAAACACAGCACUGUGCAAACACGAAAGUGGACGUAUACGGUGUGACGCCUGCCCGGUGCCGGAAGGUUAAUUGAUGGGGUCAGCGCAAGCGAAGCUCUUGAUCGAAGCCCCGGUAAACGGCGGCCGUAACUAUAACGGUCCUAAGGUAGCGAAAUUCCUUGUCGGGUAAGUUCCGACCUGCACGAAUGGCGUAAUGAUGGCCAGGCUGUCUCCACCCGAGACUCAGUGAAAUUGAACUCGCUGUGAAGAUGCAGUGUACCCGCGGCAAGACGGAAAGACCCCGUGAACCUUUACUAUAGCUUGACACUGAACAUUGAGCCUUGAUGUGUAGGAUAGGUGGGAGGCUUUGAAGUGUGGACGCCAGUCUGCAUGGAGCCGGCCUUGAAAUACCACCCUUUAAUGUUUGAUGUUCUAACGUUGACCCGUGAUCCGGGUUGCGGACAGUGUCUGGUGGGUAGUUUGACUGGGGCGGUCUCCUCCUAAAGAGUAACGGAGGAGCACGAAGGUUGGCUAAUCCUGGUCGGACAUCAGGAGGUUAGUGCAAUGGCAUAAGCCAGCUUGACUGCGAGCGUGACGGCGCGAGCAGGUGCGAAAGCAGGUCAUAGUGAUCCGGUGGUUCUGAAUGGAAGGGCCAUCGCUCAACGGAUAAAAGGUACUCCGGGGAUAACAGGCUGAUACCGCCCAAGAGUUCAUAUCGACGGCGGUGUUUGGCACCUCGAUGUCGGCUCAUCACAUCCUGGGGCUGAAGUAGGUCCCAAGGGUAUGGCUGUUCGCCAUUUAAAGUGGUACGCGAGCUGGGUUUAGAACGUCGUGAGACAGUUCGGUCCCUAUCUGCCGUGGGCGCUGGAGAACUGAGGGGGGCUG